This 416-nucleotide ribosomal RNA is filed under the name uncultured Kaistia sp. RNAcentral's name for it is "bacterial SSU rRNA". It matches the Rfam family "Bacterial small subunit ribosomal RNA", at positions 349 to 782 of the family's 1533-position model. Lineage: Bacteria; Pseudomonadati; Pseudomonadota; Alphaproteobacteria; Hyphomicrobiales; Kaistiaceae. The record is from RNAcentral.
CAGCAGUGGGGAAUAUUGGACAAUGGGCGGAAGCCUGAUCCAGCCAUGCCGCGUGUGUGAUGACGGCCUUAGGGUUGUAAAGCACUUUCGCCGAUGAAGAUAAUGACUGUAGUCGGAGAAGAAGCCCCGGCUAACUUCGUGCCAGCAGCCGCGGUAAUACGAAGGGGGCUAGCGUUGUUCGGAAUUACUGGGCGUAAAGCGUACGUAGGCGGAUCGUUAAGUUAGGGGUGAAAUCCCGAGGCUCAACCUCGGAACUGCCUCUGAUACUGGCGAUCUUGAGUCCGGGAGAGGUGAGUGGAACUCCUAGUGUAGAGGUGAAAUUCGUAGAUAUUAGGAAGAACACCAGUGGCGAAGGCGGCUCACUGGCCCGGAACUGACGCUGAGGUACGAAAGCGUGGGGAGCAAACAGGAUUAGA